GCCUCUAUGAUGCUAACUAAUGAUGGCCCGAGCAGCUUGCCAUAACCCUCCCAAUUAUCAGUCCCCAAGCCUUGGAUUUCACCCUCUGUGAGGUCACCCCAUCCCCCAUGUCAGAGUCAGUUUUGUUUGGUCCAUGCCCACGUCUGGUGCAGCUACACAGGUCCAAGCAGAAGCUACUGGUUGCUGCCUUGUUGGCGAUCGGAUGUGAUGCUGCCACCCUGAUGUGAUCAGAGGCAAGUCUUUUGGGAAGUUGGCUCCUGUGAUUGCCGUGUGCUGAUGUAAACUCUGCCCUGUUGGUUCAUGUUUCAUCUCCGAAGGCCAAAG
Molecule: long non-coding RNA, 324 nt
Organism: Monopterus albus (swamp eel)
Lineage: Eukaryota; Metazoa; Chordata; Actinopteri; Synbranchiformes; Synbranchidae
Exons: 3
Source: RefSeq, a predicted model, not a curated record